RNAcentral lists this ribosomal RNA (490 nucleotides) under uncultured bacterium. RNAcentral's name for it is "partial 16S ribosomal RNA". It matches the Rfam family "Bacterial small subunit ribosomal RNA", at positions 30 to 507 of the family's 1533-position model. The record is from RNAcentral.
AUUGAACGCUGGCGGCAGGCCUAACACAUGCAAGUCGAACGGUAACAGGAAGCAGCUUGCUGCUUUGCUGACGAGCGGCGGACGGGUGAGUAAUGUCUGGGAAACUGCCUGAUGGAGGGGGAUAACUACUGGAAACGGUAGCUAAUACCGCAUAACGUCGCAAGACCAAAGAGGGGGACCUUCGGGCCUCUUGCCAUCGGAUGUGCCCAGAUGGGAUUAGCUAGUAGGUGGGGUAACGGCUCACCUAGGCGACGAUCCCUAGCUGGUCUGAGAGGAUGACCAGCCACACUGGAACUGAGACACGGUCCAGACUCCUACGGGAGGCAGCAGUGGGGAAUAUUGCACAAUGGGCGCAAGCCUGAUGCAGCCAUGCCGCGUGUAUGAAGAAGGCCUUCGGGUUGUAAAGUACUUUCAGCGGGGAGGAAGGGAGUAAAGUUAAUACCUUUGCUCAUUGACGUUACCCGCAGAAGAAGCACCGGCUAACUCCGUG